UUCGGGAGGGGGGGCGAGUCCUUCAGCCCAGAUUGCAAGAGGGUGCAGGCCAGGCUGAGGGACCCCCGGUACACA
Molecule: microRNA precursor, 75 nt
Filed under: Myotis lucifugus (little brown bat)
Lineage: Eukaryota; Metazoa; Chordata; Mammalia; Chiroptera; Vespertilionidae
Description: mir-9193 microRNA precursor family
Rfam family: mir-9193 microRNA precursor family
Source: Rfam by way of RNAcentral